AUACUCUAGUUUCUCUUCAGAUGUAUAAAUCUUUCGCCUUUUUACUAGAGGUUUCCGCGAAGAGGAACAUUUAGGAGUUUUGAUUAAUUUUUGGAGGCCUUGCUUCCGCAGGGCU
Molecule: small nuclear RNA, 115 nt
Organism: Ahaetulla prasina
Lineage: Eukaryota; Metazoa; Chordata; Lepidosauria; Squamata; Colubridae
Product: U5 spliceosomal RNA
Exons: 1
Source: RefSeq, a predicted model, not a curated record